AUUGAACGCUGGCGGCAGGCCUAACACAUGCAAGUCGAACGGUAACAGGAAACAGCUUGCUGUUUCGCUGACGAGUGGCGGACGGGUGAGUAAUGUCUGGGAAACUGCCUGAUGGAGGGGGAUAACUACUGGAAACGGUAGCUAAUACCGCAUAACGUCGCAAGACCAAAGAGGGGGACCUUCGGGCCUCUUGCCAUCGGAUGUGCCCAGAUGGGAUUAGCUAGUAGGUGGGUUAACGGCUCACCUAGGCGACGAUCCCUAGCUGGUCUGAGAGGAUGACCAGCCACACUGGAACUGAGACACGGUCCAGACUCCUACGGGAGGCAGCAGUGUGGAAUAUUGCACAAUGGGCGCAAGCCUGAUGCAGCCAUGCCGCGUGUAUGAAGAAGGCCUUCGGGUUGUAAAGUACUUUCAGCGGGGAGGAAGGGAGUAAAGUUAAUACCUUUGCUCAUUGACGUUACCCGCAGAAGAAGCACCGGCUAACUCCGUG
Molecule: ribosomal RNA, 490 nt
Filed under: uncultured bacterium
Lineage: Bacteria
Description: partial 16S ribosomal RNA
Rfam family: Bacterial small subunit ribosomal RNA
Source: RNAcentral